CGUGUGGGCCGUGACUGGCGCUGAGGUGGAGCACCACCGGGGAGCGGCCUGACGAACCGGUCGAUGCCGUGCGCCUGGGCGAGUGGU
Regulatory RNA element from Streptomyces sp. Amel2xC10, 87 nucleotides. It matches the Rfam family "ZMP/ZTP riboswitch aptamer (pfl RNA motif)". From Rfam's summary of the family: Previously known as pfl RNA. ZMP is also known as AICAR. NCBI's taxonomy places the organism in Bacteria, Bacillati, Actinomycetota, Actinomycetes, Kitasatosporales, Streptomycetaceae. The record is from Rfam.